This 940-nucleotide long non-coding RNA is filed under the name Scleropages formosus (Asian bonytongue). RNAcentral's name for it is "lncRNA (ENSSFOG00015031677.1)". The record is from RNAcentral. Lineage: Eukaryota; Metazoa; Chordata; Actinopteri; Osteoglossiformes; Osteoglossidae.
GUUUAGCAAUGUUUCCUGUUCCCAUUUUUUCCUCUCACAAAACACUACAAUUUUGAAGUUUAGACUCGUAUAGCAAGUAUGAAUUAGUGGAUACUGUGUCAGAAUGAGAUUGCCUGCAGUGACAUUGUCAUCUUUAUUUUGGUCUCUGGCCGCGUGGCCAGGAUACCCAUCUGAUGCCCAAUCACCAAAGAGCAGCAAGCUACGACUGGUGGAUGACGGCGAUGCCAUGGCCUGUUCUGGCCUGCUGGAGCUGAAAUAUCAACAGAGAUGGCAGUACCUAUGUGCUAUAAACUGGAGUGAGGCCAUGACCCUGCUGGCCUGUAGUGGCAUCGAGUGCGGGAAGCCUGUCUCUCACUACUUCACCAGCAGUGGUACUCCCUUCACUGGGCUGGGGCUCUCCUGUCAGGGCCAGGAGACGUCACUGCUCCACUGUGCCAAGAAGAGGAAAUCUUGUAUCACCAGAGUGGCCGUUGUGUGCGGGACAGGUAACUCAGGAGUUACCGAACAGCAGCAAUACACCACGGUGACCGAAUCGCCUUCCCCCGUCGCCAUUGCUGGGCUCUUACCUUGGCUGCGCACCGUUCUCCUGCUUUGCGGACUGGCUGCCAUGGUGCUUUCUGUCAUUGCUGUGGAGAUACUGGCCAGGAGACGCAGAGGUAGAUGACUCCUUUCACAGCGAGCACAGUGAGGACACGUGGGGAACGAGCGCUCCAGAUUCCACCGCACUGUAACUGUCACUGCAGGAAACAGCUGGAAAAGAGGAGAAAAGCUCAGAAAAACAUCUGGACAUUAUUAUUAUUAUUGCUAAAGAAAUUGCUGAGUUGAAACAGGACAUUUAUGUAUUGUCUAUGUAGAAUUUUGUAAUAUUUGUAAUUAAUGGAUGAGUAAAAUAAUGUAAUCAAACAGCUUUAUAUCUCAUUACAUUUUUUUCCAAGCCCAC